UAGAAACUGGAGCGUCCUUGUUUACCGGACAAGAGUCCAGAGACUGCACAGCUGGAUGUGAAUUCUCCAAGAAGCUCUGAUUCUGAAGUCAAGGAAUCAAAACACCCCAUAUACUUAAAUACAGGAAGCACUACAACGACCAAACCACAUGAAAGGAUACACUCAUGACUGUUGCAAAGCGAUCUUCUGUUGUGGCUGGGAUCUUCAAACAAGCAGUUCUGAUCUCCUGGAUGGUUGAGUGAAGAUCACUAAGGUCUGAUGUAAUGGUUCUCUGAUUCACUGGAUUUGCAAAAAAAAAUAGGUCAGAAGCUGAUAGAUGAACUGCCAGAUCAGCUGCUUGGCAGGAGUGUCCAGCACAGGAAACACAUCCACAAUGAGCGUAUCCACAUUCCUGGAUGCCAGACAGAAAACAUUUCAGAGACAAUGGAGUCAAGCAGUCCCCGUACUCUGUCCCAGUAAAGC
Trichomycterus rosablanca is the source of this 462-nucleotide long non-coding RNA. RefSeq lists it as uncharacterized. NCBI's taxonomy places the organism in Eukaryota, Metazoa, Chordata, Actinopteri, Siluriformes, Trichomycteridae. The transcript is spliced from 5 exons. The record is from RefSeq and is a predicted model, not a curated record.